RNAcentral lists this ribosomal RNA (497 nucleotides) under uncultured bacterium. RNAcentral's name for it is "partial 16S ribosomal RNA". It matches the Rfam family "Bacterial small subunit ribosomal RNA", at positions 28 to 507 of the family's 1533-position model. The record is from RNAcentral.
GAUGAACGCUGGCGGCGUGCCUAAUACAUGCAAGUCGAGCGAACAGAUAAGGAGCUUGCUCCUUUGACGUUAGCGGCGGACGGGUGAGUAACACGUGGGUAACCCACCUAUAAGACUGGGAUAACUUCGGGAAACCGGAGCUAAUACCGGAUAAUAUUUCGAACCGCAUGGUUCGAUAGUGAAAGAUGGUUUUGCUAUCACUUAUAGAUGGACCCGCGCCGUAUUAGCUAGUUGGUAAGGUAACGGCUUACCAAGGCGACGAUACGUAGCCGACCUGAGAGGGUGAUCGGCCACACUGGAACUGAGACACGGUCCAGACUCCUACGGGAGGCAGCAGUAGGGAAUCUUCCGCAAUGGGCGAAAGCCUGACGGAGCAACGCCGCGUGAGUGAUGAAGGUCUUCGGAUCGUAAAACUCUGUUAUUAGGGAAGAACAUACGUGUAAGUAACUGUGCACGUCUUGACGGUACCUAAUCAGAAAGCCACGGCUAACUACGUG